This 502-nucleotide ribosomal RNA is filed under the name Acinetobacter nosocomialis. Its description in RNAcentral is "bacterial SSU rRNA". It matches the Rfam family "Bacterial small subunit ribosomal RNA", at positions 1 to 485 of the family's 1533-position model. The record is from RNAcentral. Lineage: Bacteria; Pseudomonadati; Pseudomonadota; Gammaproteobacteria; Moraxellales; Moraxellaceae.
CGGAUCCGCCGGCCGCUGCAGAGUUUGAUCCUGGCUCAGAUUGAACGCUGGCGGCAGGCUUAACACAUGCAAGUCGAGCGGGGGAAGGUAGCUUGCUACUGGACCUAGCGGCGGACGGGUGAGUAAUGCUUAGGAAUCUGCCUAUUAGUGGGGGACAACAUCUCGAAAGGGAUGCUAAUACCGCAUACGUCCUACGGGAGAAAGCAGGGGAUCUUCGGACCUUGCGCUAAUAGAUGAGCCUAAGUCGGAUUAGCUAGUUGGUGGGGUAAAGGCCUACCAAGGCGACGAUCUGUAGCGGGUCUGAGAGGAUGAUCCGCCACACUGGGACUGAGACACGGCCCAGACUCCUACGGGAGGCAGCAGUGGGGAAUAUUGGACAAUGGGCGCAAGCCUGAUCCAGCCAUGCCGCGUGUGUGAAGAAGGCCUUAUGGUUGUAAAGCACUUUAAGCGAGGAGGAGGCUACUUUAGAUAAUACCUAGAGAUAGUGGACGUUACUCGCAGA